GGUGGCUCAGUGGUAGAGUACUUGCCUUGCGUGCAUGAGGCCCUGGGUUCAAUUCCUCAGCACCA
This 65-nucleotide transfer RNA is filed under the name Dipodomys ordii (Ord's kangaroo rat). It matches the Rfam family "tRNA". Rfam says of the family: Transfer RNA (tRNA) molecules are approximately 80 nucleotides in length. Their secondary structure includes four short double-helical elements and three loops (D, anti-codon, and T loops). The record is from Rfam by way of RNAcentral. Lineage: Eukaryota; Metazoa; Chordata; Mammalia; Rodentia; Heteromyidae.